Molecule: long non-coding RNA, 1302 nt
Filed under: Ananas comosus (pineapple)
Lineage: Eukaryota; Viridiplantae; Streptophyta; Magnoliopsida; Poales; Bromeliaceae
Description: long non-coding RNA (ACOM_LNC020394)
Source: RNAcentral
AUUUUUCUUCUUCUUUUUUUUUUCUGUUUUUAAAAAAUUAUUAAUAAUUUCCUUUGCUAUCACUCACCCACCCUUCUGCUUUUCCCUCCCUGUCUCUCGCCUUGUUUGCUAGAUCUCUGUUUGACGAAUCGAGGACAUAAAUUAAAAAUAAGGGAAAACUUCAAAAACAUCCAUGUGGUUUCGUAGUUUCUCACUUUCUCCUCUGUGGUUUAAAAUGUAUCAAUUUGCCCCCCGUGUGAUUUCUUUUUUCUCAUUUUCUUACUAAUUUUAUUAUUAUUUUUCUUAAAUCAGUGAUAAAGUUAAAAUUAAAGGGUACUAAAGUGAAUGUUUGAUAAAUCUAGAUGGGUAUCUGAAGUUUUUUGUAUAUAAUUUAAUGAAAUAUUAACGAAAAAGUUACCGAAAAGAUGAAAACGAAACCACAUGGGAGCAAUUUGAUAUAUUUUAAACCGCAUGUGGGCAAAGUGAGAAACGAUGAAACCAUAGGGGUUUUUUUGAAGUUUUCCCUAAAAAUAAGCUGAGAUUUGCAGCUUCUAGUGACUUGAAUUUGAGUGAAAAAAUAAAAUUAUUAAUUUUUUUUAUAAUUUUUUAUUUUUAUUUGUCUUUCUUAUUUUGGUUGUCGUCAAUAUUUUUUUGAAGGCCUCAACUUUAUAACUAAAUUCAUUUACUAAAUAAAUAAAUAAAACGAAUAAUAUAUUAUUUUUUUAUAACAAAAAAUCUUUGUAAUCAACUUCCGCUUUACUUUUCUCUCUCGUGAACUGGAGGAUUGUAUAGAUCGAUUUCUCCUCCAAAUUCCCUUAUCCCGAUCGAAUCCCGGCAACUAGUGAAGUUGAGGAGAGUUGGGUUACGCGGAGUGGGAAGAGAGAGAGAAAAAAUUAUAACUCUAUUUACAAAAUGUAAUUAAAGAAAAUUUUCAAAUACCAUCCUUGUGAUUUUAUACGUUUUUAUUUUGGUACUCUAUAGUUUAAAGUUUAUCGAUUUAGUAGCCCAUGAUUUUUUUUAUUAUUAUUAUUUCUUCCACUAAUUUUUUUUCGUUAAAUAAGUUAAAACGAAAAUAUAUUAAAGUGAAAAUUCAAUAAACUCAGGUUGGGCAUAUGAUAUUUUUUAUAUAUAAUUUAACGAAAUGUUAACGGAAGAAUUGACAAAAAAAUAAAUAAAUAAAGUCACAUGAUAUUAAAAUGAGAAAGUACAAAAGCACAGAAAUAGUAUUUGAAGUUUGCCCUAUAAUUAAUUGUGCAUGGAACUAAGACAAUUAUAUAUACGGCAUAGAUUACACGCCUUAAAUAAUAGUAGUGUCCAUUUUAC